CACACCCGUUCCCAUGCCGAACACGGAAGUUAAGCUCUUCAGCGCCGAUGGUAGUUGGGGGAUCUCCCCCUGCAAGAGUAGGACGUUGCCAGGC
Molecule: ribosomal RNA, 94 nt
Filed under: Guptibacillus hwajinpoensis
Lineage: Bacteria; Bacillati; Bacillota; Bacilli; Caryophanales; Guptibacillaceae
Source: RNAcentral